Molecule: long non-coding RNA, 1074 nt
Filed under: Mus spicilegus (steppe mouse)
Lineage: Eukaryota; Metazoa; Chordata; Mammalia; Rodentia; Muridae
Description: lncRNA (ENSMSIG00000002211.1)
Source: RNAcentral
GGAGUGAGCAGAGGGCUUUUUCAAGAGGUCUUUAUUACUGAGAUUGCUUUAGGCAGAGUAGAGGACCUCAAAAACUGUGCUUUCAGCAGAUGAGAGUUAGCAUAAGGUCGCAAAUUAAGAAAAGAAGGUUUUUCUUAAUGUCUGAGAAUGAAGACUAGGAUUGGUGAAGACAAAGAACAGUUUGAAGUACCCUGGGAAGUUUGGCAUAGUUUAAGGCACGGAAGCCUCCAGGGUAGACUUUGGAUUUAGUCCUAAGUUCCAAAUGAAAGCUGCCCUGCAGAGAGUAGUAAAAUCAGGACUCCUGGUGACAGAAUCAAGGCAGGUGACAGAAUCAAAGUUUAUCAACUGACCUGCAUCUGAAGCCCAUGUACACAUCAAGAGAGUCAUAAUCCAGAUGAAAAUGAGGUAAAGAACAAUGUGAGAAAAUGACCAAUACUUUUGUUUACCUGUGACUGUAUCAAAAUUACAGAUAGUCAUGAAAUAGCAAAAUGGAAUAACAGCUUUGAACUCCUUACUGUAAGUAAUGGUUUUGAAUGAGAAAUGUAUAUCUGGCAUUCCAUAUUCUUCCUUCAUCUCAAUCACUAUGGCAACAGCUUAGUCUAACAAGACCAAGGUAGAUAAAUGCUACAUCAUACGUUACUAUUAUGGGCCUUAUAAACCAAUAGGGAACUAGAAAUGAUGUUUUUUUUUUAAUGUGUGUUUUUGUUUUCCUAACUCUAGCAGAAGAUACAGGGGGAAAUUAAGCUUGAAUAAUUUUUACCACAACUGAAUUCAUGUUUGGAGAUCAUCUAAAGGCAUAUGGCAAUCACCACCCGCCAGCAAAAUGUUUAAAAGUUUGCCAAGGAUGUCUGAAUGGUGGCCAAUCUGAUCACAAAAUGAAACAAUGUGAUGGUUAUCCAAGGAUGAAGAGGACUAAGAUGAGUUCAAAGGAAGAAUUAACUUCUGAAACAUGGAACAAUGCAUGAAAAGGUGUUAGAUGGAGAAUUACCUUGUAGGACCUUGUGGUGUGUCCACUGACAUAUACGUCUUCGCCAAGAUGAUGUGUUUCUGAAAUAAACCACAGUCUCCCAGGCA